AUUGAUAUCAUGUUUUUCUCCUUCAAUUAUAUCAAUUAUUAUCUGAUUACAUAAUCUUAAACCAACCUUCCAUGGAGUCACAGUUCUCUGUGGGGGCAUCAGAGUGGACAAAUACUGCUCCUAAAGAAUGGGUGUAAAGCUGAGGAUGCUGCCUCAUGAUGCUGCUCUGAACCUCUGAUGGCCUUUUUUUCUGGAUACCCUGAAGGAAAAAGAAAAAACAAACAUGAAUGACCCAUGUUUUAGGUGCAAUGUGAUAAAAUAACAAUUAAAUAAAGCAAUCCCUUUCAUGUAA
Molecule: long non-coding RNA, 292 nt
Organism: Myxocyprinus asiaticus (Chinese sucker)
Lineage: Eukaryota; Metazoa; Chordata; Actinopteri; Cypriniformes; Catostomidae
Exons: 2
Source: RefSeq, a predicted model, not a curated record